Non-coding RNA from Benincasa hispida (wax gourd), 3282 nucleotides. Lineage: Eukaryota; Viridiplantae; Streptophyta; Magnoliopsida; Cucurbitales; Cucurbitaceae. The record is from RefSeq and is a predicted model, not a curated record.
AGUCCUAUGUAUUAUUAUAAAUGUAAAAUACAAGUAAACAAUACAAAAAAUAAUAGGUCCACUUUUUUUAUUCUAUUGAUGAAUUAUGUUUUAGUGGGAUAAACCCGGCCUAAGCGUCCACCACGAUGUUGAGAAGGCCAAAAAAAAAAAUAGUGGCAAUUUGCAUAGAUAUGGCAACAACAAUAAUGAUGACAAUAAUAAUAUUGGGUGGCCAUCAUCACGUGUUUCAAGUUCACCCUGAGAUUCAGUGCUACUGACACGUGGCGCCAAAUAAUUGAAGAAAAAAUGAUUUUUUUGAAGGUCUGAUUUCACUCAACAAAGUUGGGAAAAUGAAAGCCCGCAAUCCUCCCAAGAAGUUGAAGUCCAAAUUUCAAAUAGUAGAAUAUGGAGAUGGGCGGUGCUCUAUUUUUUCUUUUUCUGCGACCCCAUUUGAUUUGAAUCCAAAACAAACCAGAAGCCGACAGAUCCACCACUGCCAAAAGUUUACCAAAUUUACCCUUCCUUGACUUCCAACUUCAAAAUCCUUUGAAGUUGCUGUAUGGAAAACUGUAGAAAUGAAAUGACGAAUCUGUGUGAGAGUGAUUGCGGUUGUGGAGAUCGGAAAAACUCAGAAUCAGAGGCAAUAGGGGGAAUGGGUCUCUCUGCAUCUUCUUCGUCUUCCUGCAGAUUCAAUGUGCUAUGGCAAUGGGUCUUCACUAUAAGCCGGUGAGGUUGCGAGUAGGCGGUCCGGCCCCAUUUGUACCAUUUUCCCAUAUAACUACUUCAACCGCUUCAACGAAAGCCUUAUUGGGGCUGAAGAAUUCCAAGCCUUCAUCCCGCUCUGCUCCAUCCUCUCUGUUUUCAAACAUCGACGACACCACUUUAGCCGAGUUCUUUCCUCUUUUACUGAUUCUCCUCAUUUUCUUUGGAUUUCGGCGUUUGCUUAUGGCUUCCAUGGAAUUGGAAAAGCCGACUUCUGAGACUGUAAGCGAAGGGGGGAACAGAGGAAAACUGGAUAAUGAGAAGAGGGGAGGACUAGAUUUGAAUGAAGCGAGAAAUGGGAAGAGGAAGAAGAAGAAAGGAAAUCGUACGGUAUCGUUUUACCUACCCAAGAUCGGAUUCGGAUGUUUCAGAGUACAACGAGAUGAGGAAGGGAAUCUUGAUAUGGAGGUCGUCAAUGGCUCUGGGGAGCGUCGGAAGCCCACCCACCUUCUUAUAAUGGUUAACGGUCUCGUUGGCAGUGCUAAAGAUUGGAAAUAUGCAGCGGAGGAGUUUUUGAAGGCGUACCUAGAAGAUAUUAUUGUUCAUUGUGAGUCUUUCAAUUGCAGUAAACGUAAUUACUCAACAUUGACCCUUGAUGGUGUUGAUGUGAUGGGAGGAAGACUGGCAGAAGAGAUUUUGUUAGUUAUCAAGAGACAUCCAAAUGUCCAAAAGAUCUCCUUCGUAUGUCAUUCAUUAGGUGGACUGAUAGCAAGGUAUGCCAUAGCAAAGCUUUAUGAGCUAAAAGAUGUCCAAGUAAAUGGAGAGUAUAACAAACAUGGGUUUAGAGAUGAAAGCUGUGAAGAUGAAUUUAGAGGGAAAAUUGCUGGGCUGGAACCAAUUAAUUUUAUAACAUGUGCGACCCCACAUCUUGGUUCAAGAGGGCAUAAACAGGUCCCUAUGUGUUGUGGCUUUUAUGCCCUGGAAAAAGUAGCUGUUUGCACGUCUUAUUUCUUUGGUAGAACUGGGAGACAUUUAUUUUUAAUUGACAAGGACAGUGGAAACUGCCCCCUUCUUUUUCAUAUGGCUGGUGAUCGUGAAGACCUCAAAUUUUUAUCUGCUUUGCAGUCAUUUAGGCGGCGUGUUACCUAUGCGAAUGUGCGUUAUGAUAACGUUGUUGGAUGGAGUACAUCUUCUAUAAGGCGUCGUACCGAGUUGCCUAAGCUUAAAGGUUUAUCAGGAGAUGGAAAAUAUCCAUAUAUUGUAAACGUAGAGAUGGAAAAAAAUUCUAAUCAUCAAUUAUACGUGCCGUCAGAGGCCAAAGCCAAUAGAUUCAAGAAAACUGAUCUGGAAGAAGAAAUGAUCAAAGGUAUAUCGAGUGUGGGUUGGGAGCGGGUCGAUGUCGACUUCCACAAAAGUAAACAAAGAAAUGAUGCCCACCUUACCAUUCAGGUUAAUAGGUACAGAGUCAAUUCUGAUGGGGCCUGCGUGAUCCAACAUAUGAUUGACAAUUUUCUCUUGUAGCAUGUGACAAAUUGAAUUAUUGAAAAUUAAUUUCGAGUUCUCAAACAACAGCCGGGAAGGGAAGAAUGCCUGGUCUCUCUCUGGUUUGAUGCUUUCAAAUAACAUCUGUACUUGAGACUGUAUUGGCUUGAACAUCAGCUACAGAAUUGUGUUGUUUAGAUCAAAAAAAUUAUUUGGGAUAAUGAAGCGAAUCUACUCAUAAUCAAGGUCUCUCGCUGUCUGCUGUAAGUUCUGUGGAUCAAGAAGAAAGCAAGUCAGCAAUAUCUGGCUGAAUUCCUACUAUUGGAAGUGGAGAUCUGUUUUAUAUUAGAAGGCUUAGAUGAAUUUUUCUAUUGAAGAUGUAGCCUCUCUUUUGAUAAGUACUAUAUCUCUUAGACUCUUGGCACUUUCCGCCAAUGAAGAUUCAUAAUCUCCAUAGAAUUGAAUGAAAAGUGCUACUUAUUCUUGUAGAUGAGAAGCACAUGGGAAUAUAUGGUGACAACAGUAUGCCGUAGCAAGUGUUAGUAAAUGGAGAGAAUUGAAUUUUGCUCUUAUGGAGAUGAAACAUGUUUAUUUCCAUUGGAUCGGUCAGCUAGAGAUGCGUGGCUGACAUUCAAGAGGAACCAAAUAGAGAAGAGACUAGCAAAUUCCAAACAAUUAUACCUUUUUAUACAGGAAGCAACCAAGGUGGGUGAUUUGAAAUCAAGUGCAUGUUUAUUUUCUUUGAAUGCGUGGAUAGCUUUACUUGGAUAUCACAUCCAUCAUUCUGAGCACUAAAACAUUGAAAUGACUUACAGAUUAAUUUUGGAAAAGAACUUUCAUAUGAUCGAUCCACCUGCUGCUGUGGGAGGAGGUCAGGACCUGUCAAUUCCGCCAAGCCAAUGCCUUUCCUGUUGUCCCACAAUCGACGCAUGUACCCAUGCUGAAUGAAAGAGACAGAAUCAGUUAAAGAAACCAACAAAAGCAAAAUCCUUGCUUUCAAGCCCAUAUUCAGAGAAAUCAUUCAUCAUGGAUACUCUCUGAUAGUCUUUAUUAACACAUUCAAAAACUGUCGACUCUUAAUAACAUUAUGCAAUACAAAUUUGAAAUAUAAUUUUCAAA